This 85-nucleotide transfer RNA is filed under the name Felis catus (domestic cat). It matches the Rfam family "tRNA". Rfam says of the family: Transfer RNA (tRNA) molecules are approximately 80 nucleotides in length. Lineage: Eukaryota; Metazoa; Chordata; Mammalia; Carnivora; Felidae. The record is from Rfam by way of RNAcentral.
GCCUGGGUGGCUCAGUUGGUUAGGCGUCUGACUUGAGCUCAGGUCAUGAUCUCCCUGUUCGUGGAUUCAAGCCCCAUUCCGGGCU